AUUGAACGCUGGCGGCAUGCUUUACACAUGCAAGUCGAACGGCAGCGCGGGGCAACCUGGCGGCGAGUGGCGAACGGGUGAGUAAUACAUCGGAACGUACCCAGAAGUGGGGGAUAACGUAGCGAAAGUUACGCUAAUACCGCAUACGUUCUACGGAAGAAAGUGGGGGACCUUCGGGCCUCAUGCUUUUGGAGCGGCCGAUGUCUGAUUAGCUAGUUGGUGAGGUAAAGGCUCACCAAGGCGACGAUCAGUAGCUGGUCUGAGAGGACGACCAGCCACACUGGGACUGAGACACGGACCAGAGGCCUACGGGAGGCAGCAGUGGGGAAUUUUGGACAAGGGGCGCAAGCCUGAUCCAGCAAUGCCGCGUGAGUGAAGAAGGCCUUCGGGUUGUAAAGCUCUUUUGUCAGGGAAGAAACGGCUGAGGAUAAUACCUUCGGCUAGUGACGGUACCUGAAGAAUAAGCACCGGCUAACUACGUGCCAGCAGCCGCCGUAA
RNAcentral lists this ribosomal RNA (498 nucleotides) under uncultured bacterium. RNAcentral describes it as "partial 16S ribosomal RNA". It matches the Rfam family "Bacterial small subunit ribosomal RNA", at positions 30 to 523 of the family's 1533-position model. The record is from RNAcentral.